AAAUAAAGGAACUGUGGAAGCAAAGUAUACUUGGAUAGAAACAUUGGUUAAUAUUUGCCACAAGAGUUAGCUUCUUAUACAAAGUUUUAGCAAUCUUGUAAUCUAGGGUUUUGAAGUUUUCCCUCAACUAUUCUACAUGGCGUUCUGGGGAGUUGAAGUGAAACCAGGCAGACCUUUCACUCAUGCCGCUAGUGCUGCAAGAGGAAGGCUUCACAUUUCUCAGGCUACUUUGGGGAUUGGCACGUCAACAAGCAAAAGUCUGCUACAAUGUAAUGUAGUUCUUUUCCCUCUGUUUGCCCUUGAGAGUAUUUCUGGUUCUAUGUGACGAUGGCUUCAGCCGCACAAUUCAGAUGCUAAGACAUACAUGGGAGCUCGCUCAAGAGGUUGGACUAGGAAUCGGGUUUUCUGGUUACCCAUUUCCUAAUUUUUUUCUUUUCAAGCCAUGAUUUUUUGAAAUAAAAGUGUUGAAUGUAUUGAUGUAGAGGUGCCAAGGAGGCACCAUCCAUCUGCAAAAUUAUUUACAAAUCUAUUAAGCUAUUGAUCACAAAACCAAGAUCAUCUAGAUAGUCAAUCUCUAGCUUUCUAUCACAUAGAACACUCUCUUCUGUAAUUAUUACUGAUGGGUCAAUCUAUAAUAUUGAGAGUUCUGAGACUAUAUAUUGAGAGUUCUGAGACUCUAAAACCAACUCUUUUCAUUACCUUGACAUCUGUUUUAAGUUUACCUAAACUUGCUUUCAAUUUGAUUUCUGUAAGUAGACUUACCAAAGAAUUUAAUUGUUGUAUCUCAUUCUUCCUUUAUCAUUGUCUUUUUCAAAAUCUUAUGACGAAGCAGAUUAUUGGUAAAUGACAUAUAUCAUAAGGUCUCUACAUUUUUUAUACUCAGACCAGUUUUCUGCUCUAGUGUGAUAUCUCUAUUUGGAGUACAUUGUUAGUUGGGACAUUCAUCUUUUACUGUGUUAAAAAAGUUGUGUUAUCAGUUUCAUCCUAUAUCUUCAUUAGAUUGUGAGUCGUGUCAAUUUGCAAAACAUCAUCGUAACUUGUCGAGUUUGAGAAUUAAUAAACGAGCUGAGUCUACUUUUGAAUUAGUUUAUUCUCAUAUAUAGGGUCUAUGUCUUAUUAUGUCAAAAAUAAAGUUUAAAUAUUUUGUUACUUUUGUGGAUGAUUUUUCUCGAAUGACUUAAAUGUACUUUAUGAAAAAUCAUUUUGAAGUGUUUACUCAUUUUUGUGCUUUUCAUGUAGAAAUCAAAACUCAAUUUAAUGUGUCUGUGCAUUUGUUAAGAAGUGCUAAUGUAGAGAAUAUAUGUCAGAUUCAUUUCAGAAUUAUAUGACUCAAUAUGGAUUCUUCAUUAGUUUUCAUAUGUCGAUACACCAUCUCAAAACGAGGUUGUGAAAAAAAGAACAGACAUUUACUUGAAACUGCUCAAGCUCUUUUAUUUCAGACAUAAGUUCCUAAGCAAUUCUGGGCAGAUGUUGUAUCAACUGCAUGUUUUAUGAUUAAUCGUUUACUAUCUACAGUACUUGAAAGUGAUAUUCCUUACAGUAUUCUUUUUUCAAACAAGUAAUUAUUUUUAAUACAGCCGCGAGUAUUUGGUACUACUUGUUAUAUUCGAGAUGUGCGACCCAGUAUUAGUAAGUUGGAUUCUAAAGACUUGAUUGUAUCCUUUUAGAAUAUUCUCGCUUGCAAAAGAAAUACUGAUAUUACUUUCCAGAUUUCAAUAAAUAUCUUGUAUUAGUCGAUAUAGUUUUUUCAGAAAAUAUACCGUUUUUCUCAUCACAAUCCAGUUCUACAGAUCGGGUGAAUGACAAUGAAUGACUCAUUUGUAGAUUCCAACACAAUACCACUACGGAGCAACAAGAAGACAACAGACUGAUAAUACAUGUCCUAUACCAGCUUAUUCACCAUUUGAUGCUACCACCUAUGAUCUUGAUCUUUCCAUCAAUCUUCGUAAAGGUCAGCAUUCGCUAUGUCGGCAAAGUAAAGGAGAAUGGAGAGGUUUUCUGUUCUAAUAUCUCCAAAGCUGCAUUCAAAUUUCAACUAGGUGCAGGAGAUGUCAUAGAGGGUUGGAAUGUCGGUAUUGAUGGUAUGCGGGUUGGUGGUAAAAGUCGAUUGACUGUUCCACCUAUUUUGGGGUCUGCAAAUCGCACUCCUUUUGUGUAAAUAGGGAUGCGUUCAUAAGAACAUAUUUGCAAUGUAAUCUUUCUGAGCGUAUCAUGACUUGUCUCUUAUUUAUGUUUUGCAGUUAUGGAAGUGAAGGAGCUGCCGGGAUUGUACCACCAAAUUCAUGGCUUGUAUUUGAAUUUGAAUUGGUUAAAGUCCGAUAACUGUGUCUUCAAUGGCUGUUGCUUCAGGGGCUUGAUUAGUUGUUUUGGCCUUUUCCUAAAUAUCAUACUUUGCAGAAGCAGUUUUGAACUUUUAGUUGGAUAGCCACUAACAAAUGUAAACUUAUCAUAGUGCAAACUUAAUGAAGCAAGCGGAAAGAGCAA
This is a non-coding RNA of Carica papaya (papaya), 2484 nucleotides long. The record is from RefSeq and is a predicted model, not a curated record. Lineage: Eukaryota; Viridiplantae; Streptophyta; Magnoliopsida; Brassicales; Caricaceae.